GUUUGAUCCUGGCUCAGGACGAACGCUGGCGGCGUGCCUAAUACAUGCAAGUCGAGCGAGCGGAACUAACAGAUUUACUUCGGUAAUGACGUUAGGAAAGCGAGCGGCGGAUGGGUGAGUAACACGUGGGGAACCUGCCCCAUAGUCUGGGAUACCACUUGGAAACAGGUGCUAAUACCGGAUAAGAAAGCAGAUCGCAUGAUCAGCUUUUAAAAGGCGGCGUAAGCUGUCGCUAUGGGAUGGCCCCGCGGUGCAUUAGCUAGUUGGUAAGGUAAAGGCUUACCAAGGCGAUGAUGCAUAGCCGAGUUGAGAGACUGAUCGGCCACAUUGGGACUGAGACACGGCCCAAACUCCUACGGGAGGCAGCAGUAGGGAAUCUUCCACAAUGGACGCAAGUCUGAUGGAGCAACGCCGCGUGAGUGAAGAAGGUUUUCGGAUCGUAAAGCUCUGUUGUUGGUGAAGAAGGAUAGAGGUAGUAACUGGCCUUUAUUUGACGGUAAUCAACCAGAAAGUCACGGCUAACUACGUGCCAGCAGCCGCGGUAAUACGUAGGUGGCAAGCGUUGUCCGGAUUUAUUGGGCGUAAAGCGAGCGCAGGCGGAAGAAUAAGUCUGAUGUGAAAGCCCUCGGCUUAACCGAGGAACUGCAUCGGAAACUGUUUUUCUUGAGUGCAGAAGAGGAGAGUGGAACUCCAUGUGUAGCGGUGGAAUGCGUAGAUAUAUGGAAGAACACCAGUGGCGAAGGCGGCUCUCUGGUCUGCAACUGACGCUGAGGCUCGAAAGCAUGGGUAGCGAACAGGAUUAGAUACCCUGGUAGUCCAUGCCGUAAACGAUGAGUGCUAAGUGUUGGGAGGUUUCCGCCUCUCAGUGCUGCAGCUAACGCAUUAAGCACUCCGCCUGGGGAGUACGACCGCAAGGUUGAAACUCAAAGGAAUUGACGGGGGCCCGCACAAGCGGUGGAGCAUGUGGUUUAAUUCGAAGCAACGCGAAGAACCUUACCAGGUCUUGACAUCUAGUGCCAUUUGUAGAGAUACAAAGUUCCCUUCGGGGACGCUAAGACAGGUGGUGCAUGGCUGUCGUCAGCUCGUGUCGUGAGAUGUUGGGUUAAGUCCCGCAACGAGCGCAACCCUUGUUAUUAGUUGCCAGCAUUAAGUUGGGCACUCUAAUGAGACUGCCGGUGACAAACCGGAGGAAGGUGGGGAUGACGUCAAGUCAUCAUGCCCCUUAUGACCUGGGCUACACACGUGCUACAAUGGGCAGUACAACGAGAAGCGAGCCUGCGAAGGCAAGCGAAUCUCUGAAAGCUGUUCUCAGUUCGGACUGCAGUCUGCAACUCGACUGCACGAAGCUGGAAUCGCUAGUAAUCGCGGAUCAGCACGCCGCGGUGAAUACGUUCCCGGGCCUUGUACACACCGCCCGUCACACCAUGGGAGUCUGCAAUGCCCAAAGCCGGUGGCCUAACCUUCGGGAAGGAGCCGUCUAAGGCAGGGCAGAUGACUGGGGUGAAGUCGUAACAAGGUAGCCGUAGGAGAACCUGCGGCUGGAUCAC
This 1547-nucleotide ribosomal RNA is filed under the name Lactobacillus crispatus. Its description in RNAcentral is "16S ribosomal RNA". It matches the Rfam family "Bacterial small subunit ribosomal RNA". Lineage: Bacteria; Bacillati; Bacillota; Bacilli; Lactobacillales; Lactobacillaceae. The record is from RNAcentral.